GAAAUACUAGUAAAUCCAUUACAUAACUUUGUCAAAGUUAAGUUACAAGUUAAAACUUGUGUAUUUUU
This 68-nucleotide transfer RNA is filed under the name Laonastes aenigmamus (Laotian rock rat). RNAcentral's name for it is "tRNA-Asp". The record is from RNAcentral. Lineage: Eukaryota; Metazoa; Chordata; Mammalia; Rodentia; Laonastidae.